RNAcentral lists this long non-coding RNA (1472 nucleotides) under Equus asinus (donkey). RNAcentral describes it as "lncRNA (ENSEASG00005037035.1)". Lineage: Eukaryota; Metazoa; Chordata; Mammalia; Perissodactyla; Equidae. The record is from RNAcentral.
GGGAUGUUAGUCCCAAGGGCUAAGGAAAUGUUCUUUUCAUGCCCUGCAGAGAGACAGCCAUGCUCAACUCAUGGCUUUGGGCAUAGAAGUCAUGUCAUGCUGUAGCUGAGGGUCUGGACUCUGGAACCAAAUUGCCCGGAUUCGAGUCGUGCCUCUGCUUCUUGCUAUCUGGAUGACCUCAGCUGACAAAGGAUUUGUGCUCCGUGAAACACUGAAUAAUAUCAAUGAGACUAUUCAGAGAUUGGGCUCUGCAGUUUCUGUGCAUCAACACCCUGCGUACUCCCCCUUUUUAAUAAAUGGAUAAAUACUACAUUUGACGAUGGUGACAUUAUCCAUGUCCUCCACGGCGGCUACUUUGUUGGCUACAUUCGGGAAGUCUGAAAGGCUGUGGAGAAUGUUAACAGGGUUCAAAUACGGGCCUUUCGCGGCAGGCUCUUCGUUAGAAUGUGGCGCUGGGAGAACCUUCUGAAGCUGGCCCAAGCCCUCAGGGAUGGACUAGCGAUGGAAGGCCUCGAUAGCGUGGAUAAGGAAAGAGGGGCCCCAGUGUCAGGCUUUCAUCUGCCAGCCGGAGUAGUCCAAGCUGUCACCCCAUGGACUCCAAAUGGAGAUUAUGGACAAAGGAGGAACGACACUGGACGCCAAUGGUUUCUCUCUGGAACAGAAGGGAGGUUAACCCCCAGCAGGGCUGGCCAGCAAGGCCAGGGAGGCCGCCAAGCUGUGACACACCUGGAGAACACAGCAGCCACAGACCAUGGCUCAGAAGCAAAAGCAUCCGAGAGCUGGAGCCCCCAGAGGGGAGAACCAUCCCCAGAGCCAAGCUGGGGACACCCACCAAGGACAAACCAACUCAAGUCAUGUGCUCCCAGUGUGGGGACGGGCUGCUCCGCUGCGGGUCUUCCGACUUCUGGCCAGACAACGCUCUGGUCUCUUUUCCACCAACACACAGCACCAUCUUGAAUCACAAUGGUGAAAGAACUGAAACUCUGUAGCCAUCAAACAACAACUCCGCAUUCCCUGCUCCCCACCCCUGACACCCUGCUCCUUUCUGCCUCUAUGGGUGUGACUACUCCAGGUACCUCAUGUCAGAGGAAUCAGACAGUACCCGCGGAUGCCUUGACUUAGCACAAGAAAGAAAAAUGUGUUCAAUCCAGCGGCCCUCAAUCUUAAGAAAAGAUGAGAUCUAAAAGGAUUCUGGGAAGGUUUACAAUAGACGUGCCCCAAACUGCCACCUGACAGACACCGCAACCAGAGGCUGAGUAAAGCGCGUCCCUUUCAAGAAAUGGAAAGUAAAACUUAAGACAUUUGGUGAUGAGGCAAAAUAUCUUAAUAUUGCUAAUGUUCAAAGGUCGAGAUUUGGAGAUCUGAUGAACAGAGAACUCUCAAAGAGAGAAAAAGAAAUCUUCUAUUGUUGCCUAUUUAUGGAAAAAAUGUCCCCGUUAUCGAACAGUGUUGACUGUUUAUCUUAGAAAAGC